GACGAACGCUGGCGGCGUGCUUAACACAUGCAAGUCGAACGAUGAAGCCGGAGCUUGCUCUGGUGAAUUAGUGGCGAACGGGUGGGUAACACGUGAGUAACCUGCCCUUGACUCUGGGAUAACUGCGGGAAACUGUAGCUAAUACCGGAUACGACCCUCGGAGGCAUCUCCUGGGGGUGGAAAGAAUUUCGGUCAAGGAUGGACUCGCGGCCUAUCAGCGAGUUGGUGAGGUAAGGGCUCACCAAGGCGACGACGGGUAGCCGGCCUGAGAGGGUGACCGGCCACACUGGGACUGAGACACGGCCCAGACGCCUACGGGAGGCAGCAGUGGGGAAUAUUGCACAAUGGGCGCAAGCCUGAUGCAGCAACGCCGCGUGAGGGAUGACGGCCUUCGGGUUGUAAACCUCUUUUAGCAGGGAAGAAGCGAAAGUGACGGUACCUGCAGAAAAAGCACCGGCUAACUACGUGCCAGCCGCCGCAGUAA
RNAcentral lists this ribosomal RNA (484 nucleotides) under uncultured bacterium. Its description in RNAcentral is "partial 16S ribosomal RNA". It matches the Rfam family "Bacterial small subunit ribosomal RNA", at positions 28 to 523 of the family's 1533-position model. The record is from RNAcentral.